This 745-nucleotide ribosomal RNA is filed under the name cyanobacterium enrichment culture clone 4_16_4.2.11_H09-T7. RNAcentral's name for it is "bacterial SSU rRNA". It matches the Rfam family "Bacterial small subunit ribosomal RNA", at positions 65 to 851 of the family's 1533-position model. The record is from RNAcentral. Lineage: Bacteria; Bacillati; Cyanobacteriota.
AACGGGACUCUUCGGAGUUUAGUGGCGGACGGGUGAGUAACGCGUGAGAAUCUGCCCUUAGGUUGGGGACAACAGUUGGAAACGACUGCUAAUACCCAAUGUGCCGAGAGGUGAAAGGUUAACUGCCUGGGGAUGAGCUCGCGUCUGAUUAGCUAGUUGGAGUGGUAACGGCACACCAAGGCGACGAUCAGUAGCUGGUCUGAGAGGAUGAUCAGCCACACUGGGACUGAGACACGGCCCAGACUCCUACGGGAGGCAGCAGUGGGGAAUUUUCCGCAAUGGGCGAAAGCCUGACGGAGCAAGACCGCGUGAGGGAGGAAGGCCUAUUGGUUGUAAACCUCUUUUGAUAGGGAAGAACACAAUGACGGUACCUAUCGAAUCAGCAUCGGCUAACUCCGUGCCAGCAGCCGCGGUAAUACGGAGGAUGCAAGCGUUAUCCGGAUUUAUUGGGCGUAAAGCGUCCGUAGGUGGCAAACCAAGUCAGUUGUUAAAGCGUAGAGCCUAACUCUAUAAGGGCAAUUGAAACUGGUUAGCUAGAGUGCGAUAGGGGCAAGGGGAAUUCCCAGUGUAGCGGUGAAAUGCGUAGAUAUUGGGAAGAACAUCGGUGGCGAAGGCGCCUUGCUGGGUCUGCACUGACACUGAGGGACGAAAGCUAGGGGAGCGAAAGGGAUUAGAUACCCCUGUAGUCCUAGCCGUAAACGAUGGAUACUAGGCGUUGUCCGUAUCGACCCGAGCCGUGCCGAAG